Molecule: long non-coding RNA, 1716 nt
Organism: Cephus cinctus (wheat stem sawfly)
Lineage: Eukaryota; Metazoa; Arthropoda; Insecta; Hymenoptera; Cephidae
Exons: 3
Source: RefSeq, a predicted model, not a curated record
CUGUACUUGCGGUAUCACGUAAGGAUCAUAUAUAUAUUUAUUACUUUUCAUUUUUAUCUUUCCACAACAAUACAACAAUGCAUCGCACGAGGUGACAACUAUCGAUGUAAUUUUAUUGAUAAGGUCCGGCUUGAAUUAUAUAAUCCAUACACAAGGAGGAAACACGGUCAGUGUUCAGUGGCCGUUAUAAUCCGUCCAUUGUGACGGACACAGUGAACGUUCGGAGCUCAAUUCCCUGUGAGGUAUGGCCCCAUAAACGAAGCGCAGCUAUAACCAUGUAAUAGAUAUCACGUAUCGAAUAUACGACCUUUCACCUCGGCACUCUCUGCUUCUCUUCGACAUCGAUCUCAUCCGAUAGCCACUUCCGAAAGCAGUAGGCUGAGAAUACUUACUAACCCAGUCAAAGAAAUUGCUCGUUCCAUUGAAAUUCCAUGCGAACGGCAAGGAAGGUAGAGCUGUAAAAAAAAUUGCAUGGAAUUCUCAAGGAUGCAUUAAAAAUUUAGAUUGAUUCAAAGUCUGGCAGUUGAAAUAAGCGAUUAGGAAGAUUAAAGGUCAAUAGAGAUUUAACGUGGGAAAAGUCUAUUUGAUGUUUUUGUAUACGUACAUUAUGUACCGAUAUCAAAUGUGCUGGAAAAUUGUACCUGCAUGCACACGGUAUUAUGGUGAAAUUGCAUAGUACACGGUACCACGGGAAUGCACGGGUGCUGGCUUCUAUGUGGACAUUUUCAGAAUCUGCUGUGAUUGCAGUUUGCUUAGUGUAAGAAUGUUCGACGGUGGCGUUUGGUUUGGUUACUUGCGCCACUGCGGGCAGAACGCUUUGGAAAAAGUUUCUGAACGAGUAUACGAGACUUUGUUCGUAAUGGUUCUUUGGAUAUAGGUAAGCAAGUACGUACCUCGAGUUCACAAUUUCGAUUGAGAGUUCAGGAACAGCGAUGUUUACUUUUUUGUUAGUUUUUCUUAGUAAUUCUCAUGUUCCAAUAGCUGAAAGAGGAAAAUUGCACUGCCUUAUCGAUAUGCAGAUUUUAAGCUAGCGCAAAGUGCAUCGGAUACAUGAAAAAUGCACUUUGACACGGAUGAAUUAUGUUCAUAUUUUAUCUUGACCUAUAGUAUCAUAUACCUAUAGUAUAUAUAUUUACCUAUCCCGUAAACAGGUCAUGCAUAAAACUCAAUCGGCCGAGACUCGAUGAUAUUAUAAAUCGCUCACACCUUAUAAUCUCUGUUAGGGUCCUGAGCACAUUGGCAACCUUUGACCCGGAUGGCUUCACUACAUUCCCCGUAUUCGCAAUUCAAUAGCCCCAAAACCAUAAAUAUGACCAUCCUAUCUCUCGCAGUGCAUUUCCGAAUUUCCUUAUAAUUCACAUUGAUGGCGCAGGAAAUAUCUAGCGAAUCACCCCAACCUGCAAGUUUCGGUGUCCAUUAAGACAGGGGUCAUGUGAAAUAAGAUGAAUCAUCCAAUUUGUCAUAAUGAGUGGAUCAGUGAAUCUUCAGGAUGAGAGCGCUUGGUCAUUAUGAAUUACGAAUGGCCUUGUAGGUGGAGUGGAGACGAAUUAAUUAAUUAAUCCUCAAAUCCGCUCUCAGUCGUUUGAUUAUAUCACAGCACCGUUAUCAUACAAUUACGUUAAAAUUUCAACGUUUGUCGAUCACCCACCUCAUCCGGUCGCUUUGUACUGCAGAGCGAUCGCACAUAAAUGAAUAAUUGGUGAAGCUUUGUGCAAA